GACGGAGGAUGCAAGUGUUAUCCGGAAUCACUGGGCGUAAAGCGUCUGUAGGUGGUUUAAUAAGUCAACUGUUAAAUCUUGAGGCUCAACCUCAAAAUCGCAGUCGAAACUAUUAGGCUAGAGUAUAGUAGGGGUAAAGGGAAUUUCCAGUGGAGCGGUGAAAUGCGUAGAGAUUGGAAAGACCACCAAUGGCGAAGGCACUCUACUGGGCCAUUACUGACACUGAGGCGCGACAGCGUGGGGAGCAAACAGG
Molecule: ribosomal RNA, 253 nt
Filed under: uncultured bacterium
Lineage: Bacteria
Description: partial 16S ribosomal RNA
Rfam family: Bacterial small subunit ribosomal RNA
Source: RNAcentral